GAAGUCGGCACUAGCGCGGUGGUCCCACCUGACCCCAUGCCGAACUCAGAAGUGAAACGCCGUAGCGCCGAUGGUAGUGUGGGGUCUCCCCAUGUGAGAGUAGGGAACUGCCAGGC
RNAcentral lists this ribosomal RNA (116 nucleotides) under Klebsiella pneumoniae. Lineage: Bacteria; Pseudomonadati; Pseudomonadota; Gammaproteobacteria; Enterobacterales; Enterobacteriaceae. The record is from RNAcentral.